This 467-nucleotide ribosomal RNA is filed under the name uncultured organism. Its description in RNAcentral is "partial 16S ribosomal RNA". It matches the Rfam family "Bacterial small subunit ribosomal RNA", at positions 333 to 797 of the family's 1533-position model. The record is from RNAcentral.
ACACUCCUGCGGGAGGCAGCAGUGAGGAAUAUUGGACAAUGGGUGGAAGCCUGAUCCAGCCAUCCCGCGUGCAGGAAGACGGCCCUAUGGGUUGUAAACUGCUUUUAUCUGGGGAUAAACCUACUUACGUGUAAGUAGCUGAAGGUACCAGAAGAAUAAGCACCGGCUAACUCCGUGCCAGCAGCCGCGGUAAUACGGAGGGUGCAAGCGUUAUCCGGAUUUAUUGGGUUUAAAGGGUCCGUAGGCGGACUGAUAAGUCAGUGGUGAAAUCCGACAGCUUAACUGUCGAACUGCCAUUGAUACUGUUAGUCUUGAGUAAGGUUGAAGUGGCUGGAAUAAGUAGUGUAGCGGUGAAAUGCAUAGAUAUUACUUAGAACACCAAUUGCGAAGGCAGGUCACUAAGUCUUAACUGACGCUGAUGGACGAAAGCGUGGGGAGCGAACAGGAUUAGAAACCCGGGUAGUCCC